This is a non-coding RNA of Kandleria vitulina DSM 20405, 315 nucleotides long. Lineage: Bacteria; Bacillati; Bacillota; Erysipelotrichia; Erysipelotrichales; Coprobacillaceae. The record is from Rfam.
UGCGAGAAUCAAUCGCUAGAAGUAGAGGAAAGUCCGUGCUAUCACGAGCUGUGAUGCUCGUAGUGUUCGUGCUAGGCCCAAUAAGCCUAGGCAACGCAAGUUGACGACGGCGAUGCUCCUAAGUCUUUGAUAUGGAGCUAGCCAUAAAGUGCCACAGAGACUAUGGCUUAGCGAAAGCUAAGAGUGAAAAGUUGGUAAACUCCGCGAGGUAGAAACCCAAAUUUGGUAGGGGAGUCUGAUGGAAGGAACUGAACUGACAUCAGGUAGGAAACUAAGAGAAAUGAUUGGUUGAAAAACAGAACACGGCUUACAAGA